This 75-nucleotide transfer RNA is filed under the name Urogymnus granulatus (mangrove whipray). RNAcentral's name for it is "tRNA-Leu". It matches the Rfam family "tRNA". From Rfam's summary of the family: Transfer RNA (tRNA) molecules are approximately 80 nucleotides in length. Lineage: Eukaryota; Metazoa; Chordata; Chondrichthyes; Myliobatiformes; Dasyatidae. The record is from RNAcentral.
GUUAAGGUGGCAGAGCCUGGCAAAUGCAAAAGACCUAAGCUCUUUAACUCAGAGGUUCAACUCCUCUCCUUAACC